Molecule: ribosomal RNA, 468 nt
Filed under: uncultured bacterium
Lineage: Bacteria
Description: partial 16S ribosomal RNA
Rfam family: Bacterial small subunit ribosomal RNA
Source: RNAcentral
GACGAACGCUGGCGGCGUGCUUAACACAUGCAAGUCGAACGGAAAGGCCCUGCUUUUGUGGGGUUCUCGAGUGGCGAACGGGUGAGUAACACGUUAGUAACCUGCCCUUGACUUUGGGAUAACUUCAGGAAACUGGGGCUAAUACCGGAUAGGAGCUCCUGCUGCAUGGUGGGGGUUUGAAAGUUUCGGCGGUUGGGGAUGGACUCGCGGCUUAUCAGCUUGUUGGUGGGGUAGUGGCUUACCAAGGCUUUGACGGGUAGCCGGCCUGAGAGGGUGACCGGCAAAAUGGGGAAUGAGAUACGGCCCAGACUCCUACGGGAGGCAGCAGUGGGGAAGAUUGCACAAAGGGGGGAAGCAUGAUGCAGCAACGCCGCGUGAGGGAUGAUGGACUUCGGGUUGUAAACCGCUUUCGCCUGUGACGAAGAGUGAGUGACGGUAAUGUGUAAAGAAGCACCGGCUAACUACGUG